This is a non-coding RNA of Lentinula aff. lateritia, 102 nucleotides long. The record is from the annotation of a GenBank genome assembly. Lineage: Eukaryota; Fungi; Basidiomycota; Agaricomycetes; Agaricales; Omphalotaceae.
GGCCUGAUGGUCUAGUAGUAUGAUUCUCCCUUCGGGCGGCUUGCUCGCAGCUUGAGGCUGCUAGAUUGGGAGAGGUCCCGGGUUCAAUUCCCGGUUAGGCCC